RNAcentral lists this unclassified non-coding RNA (376 nucleotides) under soil metagenome. RNAcentral describes it as "partial contains 5.8S ribosomal RNA, internal transcribed spacer 2, and large subunit ribosomal RNA". The stretch from base 1 to 120 matches the Rfam family "5.8S ribosomal RNA", at positions 35 to 154 of the family's 154-position model. The record is from RNAcentral.
GAUGAAGAACGUAGCGAAAUGCGAUAAGUAAUGUGAAUUGCAGAAUUCAGUGAAUCAUCGAAUCUUUGAACGCAUCUUGCGCUCCUUGGUAUUCUGAGGAGCAUGCCUGUUUGAGUGUCAUUAAAUUCUCAACUACACUGACUUUGAAUUGGUGUGGCUUGGAUUUGGGGGGAAAAUUGUUGUGGGCUUUUUGUAUAGUCUGCUCCCCUGAAAUUGAUUAGCGGUACCUUUGUGGAACUGUCUACAGGUGUGAUAAUUAUCUACAUCUUAGACAUCUGCUGGAAUGCUGCUCUCUAAACCUUACUUGUAUUGACAAUCUUGACCUCAAAUCAGGUAGGAAUACCCGCUGAACUUAAGCAUAUCAAUAAGCGGAGGA